This 253-nucleotide ribosomal RNA is filed under the name uncultured bacterium. RNAcentral's name for it is "partial 16S ribosomal RNA". It matches the Rfam family "Bacterial small subunit ribosomal RNA", at positions 524 to 776 of the family's 1533-position model. The record is from RNAcentral.
UACGAAGGGUGCAAGCGUUACUCGGAAUUACUGGGCGUAAAGCGUGCGUAGGUGGUGAGUUAAGUCUGUCGUGAAAGCCCCGGGCUCAACCUGGGAAUUGCGAUGGAUACUGGCAAGCUAGAGUACGGUAGAGGAUGGUGGAAUUCCCGGUGUAGCGGUGAAAUGCGUAGAGAUCGGGAGGAACACCCGUGGCGAAGGCGGCCAUCUGGACCAGUACUGACGCUGAGGCACGAAAGCGUGGGGAGCAAACAGG